RNAcentral lists this ribosomal RNA (463 nucleotides) under uncultured bacterium. Its description in RNAcentral is "partial 16S ribosomal RNA". It matches the Rfam family "Bacterial small subunit ribosomal RNA", at positions 28 to 507 of the family's 1533-position model. The record is from RNAcentral.
GACGAACGCUGGCGGCGUGCUUAACACAUGCAAGUCGAACGGAAAGGCCUUUUCGGAGGUACUCGAGUGGCGAACGGGUGAGUAACACGUGGGUGAUCUGCCCUGCACUCUGGGAUAAGCCUGGGAAACUGGGUCUAAUACCGGAUAGGACCGCACUUUAGUGUGUGUGGUGGAAAGUUUUUUCGGUGUAGGAUGAGCCCGCGGCCUAUCAGCUUGUUGGUGGGGUAAUGGCCUACCAAGGCGGCGACGGGUAGCCGGACUGAGAGGUUGGUCGGCCACAUUGGGACUGAGAUACGGCCCAGACUCCGACGGGAGGCAGCAGGGGGGAAUAUUGCACAAUGGGCGCAAGCCGGAUGCAGCGACGCCGCGGGGGGGAUGACGGCCUUCGGGUUGUAAACUCCUUCCGCCAGGGACGAAGCGUUUUGUGACGGUACCUGGAGAAGAAGCACCGGCUAACUACGUG